This 209-nucleotide unclassified non-coding RNA is filed under the name Hevea brasiliensis (rubber tree). Lineage: Eukaryota; Viridiplantae; Streptophyta; Magnoliopsida; Malpighiales; Euphorbiaceae. The record is from RNAcentral.
GUGGAAGUGUUUACAAGUCUUUUAAUAAUUAUGAUGAAACUUUUUAUGCUUACGAUCAAUAUUGUAACGAUAAAAAGAUAGGUGAAGGCACAUCUGGAGUGCUUGGCGUUGAGAAAAUCGACAUACAAGAAUACGAAGAGACAAAUAAGAAUACUCAGGUCUGUUUUCUCGCUGGAGUUUUAGUAGGGCUGAUAAUAUCUAAAUCCAAU